This 395-nucleotide ribosomal RNA is filed under the name uncultured sludge bacterium v9-1. RNAcentral describes it as "bacterial SSU rRNA". It matches the Rfam family "Bacterial small subunit ribosomal RNA", at positions 979 to 1372 of the family's 1533-position model. The record is from RNAcentral.
GUUUGACAUGCACAGGACGCCGGUAGAGAUAUCGGUUCCCUUGUGGCCUGUGUGCAGGUGGUGCAUGGCUGUCGUCAGCUCGUGUCGUGAGAUGUUGGGUUAAGUCCCGCAACGAGCGCAACCCUUGUCUCAUGUUGCCAGCACGUUAUGGUGGGGACUCGUGAGAGACUGCCGGGGUCAACUCGGAGGAAGGUGGGGAUGACGUCAAGUCAUCAUGCCCCUUAUGUCCAGGGCUUCACACAUGCUACAAUGGCCGGUACAAAGGGCUGCGAUCCCGUGAGGGUUAGCGAAUCCUUUAAAGCCGGUCUCAGUUCGGAUUGGGGUCUGCAACUCGACCCCAUGAAGUCGGAGUCGCUAGUAAUCGCAGAUCAGCAACGCUGCGGUGAAUACGUUUU